GUCUAAAUCUUUGCAUUUACAUCUUACACAUGCAUGUCAUGAUUGUUAAUUUAUUUUACCCUUACACUACAUACCAUGCCAUCGUACCACUGAUACAUAUUUUCGUUUUGUUUUAUUUUGCCAUCCACCACCAUAAUCAUGUUGUCAUGUUAUACUCAUAUUAUCAUGCAUCCUUUUCUAUUUUUGAAAUCCCACCUUUAUUUAUAAUUUUGUCAUUUUAUCCACCCUACUAUCUUUAUAUUUUAUUUUACACGCAUUCGACCUUUUGAUCAUGUCACUGAUACUUCCCUGCCUUUCCUUCUUUGUUUUCUAUAUAUGGAAAGCCCACCACCACCCUUUGGCAACGUGC
RNAcentral lists this long non-coding RNA (349 nucleotides) under Brachypodium distachyon (stiff brome). RNAcentral describes it as "long non-coding RNA (BDIS_LNC003172)". Lineage: Eukaryota; Viridiplantae; Streptophyta; Magnoliopsida; Poales; Poaceae. The record is from RNAcentral.